CUGACAGUCCUAGAGACCGCAGUUCUUUAUUUAGCCCCAGAGCAGCAACAGCCUGGGCAGCAGCACUGCAGCGCUGCCUCUCCAAUGAGCCUCGGCCCUGACCUGGAGGGACAAUGUCUAGAGGCGAUAUGGGAACCUCGGCUCUAUGGUUCAUUCAGUCCUUGGCCUCU
Molecule: unclassified non-coding RNA, 170 nt
Organism: Chelonoidis abingdonii (Abingdon island giant tortoise)
Lineage: Eukaryota; Metazoa; Chordata; Testudines; Testudinidae
Source: Ensembl